RNAcentral lists this ribosomal RNA (562 nucleotides) under Bacillus pumilus. RNAcentral describes it as "bacterial SSU rRNA". It matches the Rfam family "Bacterial small subunit ribosomal RNA", at positions 557 to 1118 of the family's 1533-position model. The record is from RNAcentral. Lineage: Bacteria; Bacillati; Bacillota; Bacilli; Caryophanales; Bacillaceae.
GGCGUAAGGGCUCGCAGGCGGUUUCUUAAGUCUGAUGUGAAAGCCCCCGGCUCAACCGGGGAGGGUCAUUGGAAACUGGGAAACUUGAGUGCAGAAGAGGAGAGUGGAAUUCCACGUGUAGCGGUGAAAUGCGUAGAGAUGUGGAGGAACACCAGUGGCGAAGGCGACUCUCUGGUCUGUAACUGACGCUGAGGAGCGAAAGCGUGGGGAGCGAACAGGAUUAGAUACCCUGGUAGUCCACGCCGUAAACGAUGAGUGCUAAGUGUUAGGGGGUUUCCGCCCCUUAUGGCUGCAGCUAACGCAUUAAGCACUCCGCCGGGGGAGUACGGUCGCAAGACUGAAACUCAAAGGAAUUGACGGGGGCCCGCACAAGCGGUGGAGCAUGUGGUUUAAUUCGAAGCAACGCGAAGAACCUUACCAGGUCUUGACAUCCUCUGACUACCCUAGAGAUAGGGCUUUCCCUUCGGGGACAGAGUGACAGGUGGUGCAUGGUUGUCGUCAGCUCGUGUCGUGAGAUGUUGGGUUAAGUCCCGCAACGAGCGCAACCCUUGAUCUUAGUUGC